Molecule: transfer RNA, 73 nt
Filed under: Camelus bactrianus (Bactrian camel)
Lineage: Eukaryota; Metazoa; Chordata; Mammalia; Artiodactyla; Camelidae
Also listed under: 2 other names
Rfam family: tRNA
About the family: Transfer RNA (tRNA) molecules are approximately 80 nucleotides in length. Their secondary structure includes four short double-helical elements and three loops (D, anti-codon, and T loops). Further hydrogen bonds mediate the characteristic L-shaped molecular structure. tRNAs have two regions of fundamental functional importance: the anti-codon, which is responsible for specific mRNA codon recognition, and the 3' end, to which the tRNAs corresponding amino acid is attached (by aminoacyl-tRNA synthetases). tRNAs cope with the degeneracy of the genetic code in two manners: having more than one tRNA (with a specific anti-codon) for a particular amino acid; and 'wobble' base-pairing, i.e. permitting non-standard base-pairing at the 3rd anti-codon position.
Source: Rfam by way of RNAcentral
GAGGGUAUAGCUUAAGUAGUAGAGCUUAUGCGUAGCAUGCACGAGGUCCUGGGUUCAAUCCCCAGUACCUCCU